UACGGAGGGGGCCAGCGUUGUUCGGAAUCAUUGGGCGUAAAGGGCGCGUAGGCGGCCGGGUAAGUCUGACGUGAAAUCCCUUGGCUUAACCAAGGAAUUGCGUCUUAAACUGUCUGGCUUGAGUCCGGGAGAGGGUAGUGGAAUUCCCAGUGUAGCGGUGAAAUGCGUAGAUAUUGGGAGGAACACCGGUGGCGAAGGCGGCUACCUGGACCGGUACUGACGCUGAGGCGCGAAAGCUAGGGUAGCAAACAGG
Molecule: ribosomal RNA, 253 nt
Filed under: uncultured Acidobacteriota bacterium
Lineage: Bacteria; Pseudomonadati; Acidobacteriota
Description: uncultured Acidobacteria bacterium partial 16S ribosomal RNA
Rfam family: Bacterial small subunit ribosomal RNA
Source: RNAcentral